GUUCUAUUAAACUUUUAAACAAAUUAAAAUUACGCGCGAUAAUCGCCCUACUAUACCUGCCAGCUAUAUUAUGCUAUAUCAUGCACGUCCGUUAUUGUUCGUCUCUCCGCAGCCUUUGUUGUAGUUUUUAAAUCGUCCGUAAUAUCAUCUUAUCGGCCAUUUAAAAACAACAACCAAAAAAAAAAAAAAUUAAAGAGUAGUCCGCGAAACGAAAUAUUUUUCAAAAGUACCUACCCAUAAUAUUAGUCAUUGUGAUAUUAUUAUAUCCGCAUCGUCGUGUUAUAAUAUCGUAACAUAUUUUUAUGCGGAGAGAACGUCCGCCUGCAAAAGUCUCUUGACAGCGGGGAGAUUUGUCUCGCGACAACGUUGACAACAUCGGUUUUCAAAGACACGGAAAACGUCUGGGUGGUCCAACGGUUCGGAUGUAACGUAAGACUUUUGGAAAAAUGUACAUUUUUCACUGCGAAAAUUUAAUAAACCCGAAAAAAGCGAUGAAAAAAAAAAAAAAAACAAUUAUACUAUCCAACUGUUCGUGGAAAUCCUUUAACCGUUUGAUGAAUUGAUAUUCGGACAGUGGCGACGCAAAUACGUUUCGAUUUUUUUUUUAUCACGUCGAACAGCAAAGAAAAAAAAAAACGAAAUAGAAAAAAAAACCACAUAGUUUUCUCGCGAAUUCCCGGCCGAAAUAUAUCACGUGAAUAUCACGUAGGUAGGUGACGUCUGGGGGACAAAACAACCGUAUAAAAUAUAUAUAUAUAAAAAAAAAAAUUUUAAAAAAAUACUAUUUAGCACUAAAUUUAUCAAGAAUUUCCAGAAAAACACUUUUUUACCAGAAUGUAAUUUCAUAUUAUAUAAUAUUAUCAUAAUUUAUAUUAUAGUCGUAAUAAAUGUACGUAUACUUAUAACAACAUUUUUACGAACAAUAAUAUUAUUACACAAAUAAAAUUUGUUUUAUUUUGAAAAAAAAAGUGUACAUGUUAAAAGUUUAUAAUUUUUUGUUCCUUUAUUAUUAUUAUUUUUUUUUUUUUUAUAGUUAUUAUUAUUUAUUUAUUUAUUUAUUGAGUUUGUUAAUGUUUUUUUUUUUUUUAUCAUCUUUACCUACAAUAUAGUUGCACAUUAUAACAUAUUAUACAGAUUGCAAAUCUACGAGUGACGUAAUUAAUUUAAUUUAAUAAUAAUAUUAUCACAAUAUGGUAGAAACGCGUGUAAUGUUUGUCCUUGUCGUUCUAUCGUGGUCAACGAACGCAUCGUUCCUUAUAAUUUUACAUGACGCACGUUCAUAAAACGAUAACGUGUGUUUAACAAUACGCAAAUAAUUCGUACGUCAUCAUAAUAUACAAUUAUGAAUUUAUUGAAUUUUCGCACAUGUAUUUAUCUCUCUCUCUUCCCCUGAGUCACUAGUGUUCGAUUUGAGGAAUCAGGAGACGCGGAAACGGAGUACCUCGGUUUUUUUUUUUUUUACAAAAAAUACCACCUUCUUCCGUCACCUAUCUUUUAUAACGGACAAAAAAACAAGACAAAAUUAUUUUCAAUCUUUAGGCAUUACAUUCACCCAUUUUUAUAAUUUUUUGACUCCCCCCCCCCUUCCUUCUGAGUUGUUUUCUCCGCGAUUCAAAAUUACAAAUUAAACGUCAUUGGGGGAAAAAAAAAAAAACUCGAGACAAAUAAUAUCUCGCUGCAAUGACGAUGACGGACAGACAUUACCGUAUAUAUAUAUAAAGACAUCAUUUUUUUUUCUCUUCGUAUUACAAAAAACAAAUAAAUAAAACUAUACCGUAUGAAUACCAAAUAAUGUAUAACAUUGUAGUUAAUAUUUUUAAAAAAAAAAAAAAACCAAAAUUUAACUCAUUACAAAAAUACUAUACUAUAAUGAUAACAUUUUUAUAAUAUAUAUUUUUUUGUGACGCGUAUAAUAAAAUACAUGUUAUAAAAUAAACUACGAAGGUAUAAAAAUAUUACGAUUAAAAAAAGAAACGUUGAACCUACAUGUUUUUGUAUAUCUUCGCGACACCUCUUUUUUUGAUAUCGGACACGUAUAAUAUUAUAUUUUAUUAUAAAGAGUAUGCAUAUUAAUGUACAUAUGCCAUUGUUUUUCAUUUUAGAAUAGCAUUGAAGGACAAGAGACGACUUUAUCAAAGAAAAAACAAAAAAAAAAAAAAAACAGACAAUCAAAAUUUAUAAUAUAUUAAUAUAUACCAUAUAUUGAAAUUUUAAUUUUAUCGUAAUGGAAUAUUAAAAAGAUUCACUCACUAAUAAACGAUGGUUUAAAAUUGAAAAAAAAAAAAUAAAAAAAAUACUAAUAAUAAGUAAUAUUAACAAUAAUAAUAAUGAAUUCUAAAUAUUCGAAAACCGUUUAAAUAAUUGCAUUAAUUUACAAUGUAAUUUCAUAUACGCAGGUAUCGACUUAUUAUUGUUUUUUUUUUUAUUCUGUCUCUAAUUCGUUCGUCUUGUCGAGAAUAAAAAUUCAAACGAUUUUUAAAUUAUCUACGAACAUUUAAAUUUACAAUGAAAUACGACUUUUUUAAUUCACUAUCUACAUAACUAAUAAAUUAACGAUACCUAUAUUAUAUUUAUUCAUACAUAACAAACUUAAAAAUAUAAUAAUAUGCACAACUAUAUAUUCACAGCACACACAUAUACAUAUUACUUAUAUAUAUAGUAAUAUAUAAAUAUAUGUACAUGUACACAUGUAUAAUAUAUUAUAUAUAUUUAUAUUUAUUUAUUUAUUAUAUAUGAAUACAUUUGUAUGUGUACACGAACGCUAAUUUCUAAGCUUAUUUAUAUAUUUUUUAAGAUAAUUCUUUUUUUUAACUUCAUUAUAAUUUUCGUGAUAUUUUUUACUAUAAUAGUUUUGUAGUCGUAAGAAUGAAUACAAAAAAAAAAAUGUUAUUAAUGUGCCUAUUUAUUUUUAGUGAUUAUUAUUAUUAUUUAUAUAAUAUUUUUUUUUUUUUUUUUAAAUCAUUAUUAUGGAGAAUUCUAAAUUGGAUAACAAUUUUUAAGAAAAAUUGUCGUAUAAUAUUUAUUAUUGGU
RNAcentral lists this long non-coding RNA (3030 nucleotides) under Cinara cedri. The record is from RNAcentral. Lineage: Eukaryota; Metazoa; Arthropoda; Insecta; Hemiptera; Aphididae.